This 374-nucleotide unclassified non-coding RNA is filed under the name Hevea brasiliensis (rubber tree). The record is from RNAcentral. Lineage: Eukaryota; Viridiplantae; Streptophyta; Magnoliopsida; Malpighiales; Euphorbiaceae.
CAGUAAUCAAGGUAGAAAAAUAAAAGCAACUUAAUUAUUGACAUUCCCCUCGUUCAAAAUGAGUAUAUUAACGAACGGAAUGUAAAUUAUGCUCGCCUAAUUCAACUUUUCAGCAGACAGAGGGUAUAAAAUCUAAUAAACUACCCAAAUUUCAUUCGCAUUAAACAAGAAAUGCCAUAGAAGACCACGGGGCAAACGACAAAAGAUUAAACAAGCCAAUUUUCACGUAAAGUUCAAGCAGCCUAUCCUACCACACAUGCGAAAGAUAAAUUAACUAACAAGACGAAAACAUAUAUUAAUCUUUUUUUUCCCCCUAAAACAGAUGAACGAGUUAAUCAGCAGACUUUUCAAAAUUCACUCCUAGCAAGUUACGG